This 301-nucleotide ribosomal RNA is filed under the name uncultured bacterium. RNAcentral's name for it is "partial 16S ribosomal RNA". It matches the Rfam family "Bacterial small subunit ribosomal RNA", at positions 509 to 807 of the family's 1533-position model. The record is from RNAcentral.
CAGCCGCCGCGGUAAUACAGAGGGUGCGAGCGUUAAUCGGAUUUACUGGGCGUAAAGCGCGCGUAGGCGGUUACUCAAGUCAGAGGUGAAAGCCCGGGGCUCAACCCCGGAACUGCCUUUGAAACUAGGUGACUAGAAUCUUGGAGAGGUCAGUGGAAUUCCGAGUGUAGAGGUGAAAUUCGUAGAUACUCGGAAGAACACCAGUGGCGAAGGCGACUGACUGGACAAGUAUUGACGCUGAGGUGCGAAAGCGUGGGGAGCAAACAGGAUUAGAUACCCCAGUAGUCCCUGUCUCUUAUAC